RNAcentral lists this transfer RNA (77 nucleotides) under Escherichia coli. RNAcentral describes it as "tRNA-Val". It matches the Rfam family "tRNA". Rfam says of the family: Transfer RNA (tRNA) molecules are approximately 80 nucleotides in length. Their secondary structure includes four short double-helical elements and three loops (D, anti-codon, and T loops). The record is from RNAcentral. Lineage: Bacteria; Pseudomonadati; Pseudomonadota; Gammaproteobacteria; Enterobacterales; Enterobacteriaceae.
GGGUGAUUAGCUCAGCUGGGAGAGCACCGUCCCUUACAAGGAGGGGGGCGGCGGUUCGAUCCCGUCAUCACCCACCA